RNAcentral lists this transfer RNA (70 nucleotides) under Loxodonta africana (African savanna elephant). It matches the Rfam family "tRNA". Rfam says of the family: Transfer RNA (tRNA) molecules are approximately 80 nucleotides in length. Lineage: Eukaryota; Metazoa; Chordata; Mammalia; Proboscidea; Elephantidae. The record is from Rfam by way of RNAcentral.
GCAGUGGUAGUUCAGUGUAGAAUUCUUGCCUUCCAUGCAGAAGACCAAGGUCCGAUUCCCAGCCAGUGUA